UACGUAGGUGGCAAGCGUUGUCCGGAUUUAUUGGGUUUAAAGGGUGCGUAGGCGGCCUUAUAAGUCAGUGCUGAAAUAUCCCGGCUUAACCGGGAGGGUGGCAUUGAUACUGUAGGGCUUGAGUGUAGUCGAGGUAGGCGGAAUUGACGGUGUAGCGGUGAAAUGCUUAGAUAUCCGGAGGAACACCAGUGGCGAAAGCGGCCACCUGGACUGCACCUGACGCUGACACGCGAAAGCUAGGGGAGCGAACGGG
RNAcentral lists this ribosomal RNA (253 nucleotides) under uncultured bacterium. RNAcentral's name for it is "partial 16S ribosomal RNA". It matches the Rfam family "Bacterial small subunit ribosomal RNA", at positions 524 to 776 of the family's 1533-position model. The record is from RNAcentral.